This 253-nucleotide ribosomal RNA is filed under the name uncultured bacterium. RNAcentral's name for it is "partial 16S ribosomal RNA". It matches the Rfam family "Bacterial small subunit ribosomal RNA", at positions 524 to 776 of the family's 1533-position model. The record is from RNAcentral.
UACGAAGGGUGCAAGCGUUACUCGGAAUUACUGGGCGUAAAGCGUGCGUAGGUGGUGAGUUAAGUCUGUCGUGAAAGCCCCGGGCUCAACCUGGGAAUGGCGAUGGAUACUGGCUCGCUAGAGUGCGGUAGAGGAGAGUGGAAUUCCCGGUGUAGCAGUGAAAUGCGUAGAGAUCGAGAGGAACACCAGUGGCGAAGGCGAGUCCCUGGACAACUCCUGACACUGAGGCACGAAAGCUAGGGGAGCAAACAGG